RNAcentral lists this ribosomal RNA (454 nucleotides) under uncultured bacterium. RNAcentral's name for it is "bacterial SSU rRNA". It matches the Rfam family "Bacterial small subunit ribosomal RNA", at positions 8 to 507 of the family's 1533-position model. The record is from RNAcentral.
AGAGUUUGAUCAUGGCUCAGAACGAACGCUGGCGGCAUGCCUAACACAUGCAAGUCGAACGAGACCUUCGGGUCUAGUGGCGCACGGGUGCGUAACGCGUGGGAAUCUGCCCUUGGGUUCGGAAUAACAGCGAGAAAUUGCUGCUAAUACCGGAUGAUGACGUAAGUCCAAAGAUUUAUCGCCCAAGGAUGAGCCCGCGUAGGAUUAGCUAGUUAGUGAGGUAAAGGCUCACCAAGGCGACGAUCCUUAGCUCGGUCUGAGAGGAUGAUCAGCCACACUGGGACUGAGACACGGCCCAGACUCCUACGGGAGGCAGCAGUGGGGAAUAUUGGACAAUGGGCGAAAGCCUGAUCCAGCAAUGCCGCGUGAGUGAUGAAGGCCUUAGGGUUGUAAAGCUCUUUUACCCGGGAUGAUAAUGACAGUACCGGGAGAAUAAGCCCCGGCUAACUCCGUG